CGGGGUGUAGCGCAGCCCGGUUAGCGCGCUACGUUCGGGACGUAGAGGUCGUGAGUUCGAAUCUCACCACCCCGACCA
This 78-nucleotide transfer RNA is filed under the name Bacteroidales bacterium. RNAcentral's name for it is "tRNA-Pro". It matches the Rfam family "tRNA". Rfam says of the family: Transfer RNA (tRNA) molecules are approximately 80 nucleotides in length. RNAcentral also lists the same sequence under 1 other name. Lineage: Bacteria; Pseudomonadati; Bacteroidota; Bacteroidia; Bacteroidales. The record is from RNAcentral.